Acanthopagrus latus (yellowfin seabream) is the source of this 696-nucleotide long non-coding RNA. RefSeq lists it as uncharacterized. The transcript is spliced from 3 exons. NCBI's taxonomy places the organism in Eukaryota, Metazoa, Chordata, Actinopteri, Spariformes, Sparidae. The record is from RefSeq and is a predicted model, not a curated record.
CCUCUGUUGCGUCUUCACUGAGUGGUGGGGGCUCAGUAGUUGGAAGGCUGGGGGGCAUUUCUACAGUCUGUGCUCUGUGCUGUAGCUGUAGUUCCACCUGACGGCUGAUAAUUCCCUCGUCAUGUCGUCUCUCAUCUGCGCUAUUUCUCUUCUCACGAUGUCUUUUGUUUCUCUCAGCUCUGUGUUGAGGGCCUGUUUAUCCUUCUGCGGGUUGGAGAUCUGUUCCCUGAGUUCUUGUGUAGUAGUGUCCAUCUGGUGCUUAUUUUGGUUGAGUUGUUCCUGGAGGUCAGGGUGUGUUGUGGUGCUGGUGGGGAGUAGCUGUUCUCUCAGCUCGGUCAGCUCCACCUCUAGCAGAGCCAGUCUGUCUCUCAGGAGGCUGAUGGUGUGCUGCUCUGGAUGCUGCUUGUUCGGCUCAGAUAAGGCAGGUCACCCUUCUAAUUGAUUCAGGCAGAUGGAGGGCCCUGACAGGUGACUUGUGUAUUACCUCCGGUGCAACAAAGGGUACGAUGUACUGCCCGUCCACCUGAAAAGGGCGUGCAGGACAACACGCCACAAGAAUGGGAUGCCGAAGUAAACCGGGCCAGACGGUCUCAAAGAGAGAGGACCAGGGUCGGUAGAUGCUGGGAGUAACAGGAACUGUGCUUCGUGGUUCCAGGUGAAGCGUCUCACCAGUCCCUGGUACGCUGCCACCAAAGC